Molecule: unclassified non-coding RNA, 255 nt
Filed under: fungal sp.
Lineage: Eukaryota; Fungi
Description: partial contains 5.8S ribosomal RNA, internal transcribed spacer 2, and large subunit ribosomal RNA
Source: RNAcentral
CGCACAUUGCGCCCAUGAGUAUUCUCCUGGGCAUGCCUGUUCGAGCGUCAUUUCAACCCUUAAGCCCAGCUUAGUGUUGGGAAUCUACCGUGGGCGUCUGGCCCGGUAGUUCCCGAAAACCAACGGCGGACUUGUGGUAUCCUCUGAGCGUAGUAAUUCACUUCUCGCUUCUGUCAGGUGCUGUAGGUCUGGCCGCCAAACCCCUAAAUUUUAAUGGUUGACCUCGGAUCAGGUAGGAAUACCCGCUGAACUUAA